UCCGGUAUAGUGUAGGUGGCUAUCAUACAUCGCUCUCACCGAUGAGACCGGGGUUCGAGUCCCCGUACCGGAA
This 73-nucleotide transfer RNA is filed under the name Fistulifera solaris. It matches the Rfam family "tRNA". From Rfam's summary of the family: Transfer RNA (tRNA) molecules are approximately 80 nucleotides in length. The record is from Rfam by way of RNAcentral. Lineage: Eukaryota; Bacillariophyta; Bacillariophyceae; Naviculales; Stauroneidaceae.